Mauremys reevesii (Reeves's turtle) is the source of this 351-nucleotide long non-coding RNA. RefSeq lists it as uncharacterized. Lineage: Eukaryota; Metazoa; Chordata; Testudines; Geoemydidae. The record is from RefSeq and is a predicted model, not a curated record. The transcript has 2 exons.
CGUUGGGCGAGUCCCUGAGCCCCCCGCGCCGCGUGCGCGGAACCGCCCGGCUCCUGCCCUGGCGGGCGGCGCGGAGCAGAGCGCGAGGCGCUCGCAGCCCCGGGGCCGUGACCGAGCUGCGGCAGGCAGGCUGCCAAUAGUUCAAAUGAGAGGCUUGUGAUUUCUAGCUGAAAACACUCCAUGUUUGGGAAAAAACCCAUCAUGUUUAUUGGAUUUUGCAGCGAUUCAGGGCUAUAUGGCUGAAGUGACUAAUGCACUGAUGGCGAGACUUCAAAAAGAAUAACAGAUCAAAGGCUUGUGUCAGUCUCAGCGAUCUGAUUUGUUACUAUUAUAAAGGGCUUCCUAAUUGAA